GGGUUGUGAGGUUAAGCGACUAAGCGUACACGGUGGAUGCCCUGGCAGUCAGAGGCGAUGAAGGACGUGCUAAUCUGCGAAAAGCGUCGGUAAGGUGAUAUGAACCGUUAUAACCGGCGAUGUCCGAAUGGGGAAACCCAGUGUGAUUCGUCACACUAUCGUUAACUGAAUACAUAGGUUAACGAGGCGAACCGGGGGAACUGAAACAUCUAAGUACCCCGAGGAAAAGAAAUCAACCGAGAUUCCCCCAGUAGCGGCGAGCGAACGGGGAGCAGCCCAGAGUCUGAAUCAGCUUGUGUGUUAGUGGAACGGUCUGGAAAGUCCGACGGUACAGGGUGAUAGUCCCGUACACCAAAAUGCACAGGCUGUGAACUCGAAGAGUAGGGCGGGACACGUGGUAUCCUGUCUGAAUAUGGGGGGACCAUCCUCCAAGGCUAAAUACUCCUGACUGACCGAUAGUGAACCAGUACCGUGAGGGAAAGGCGAAAAGAACCCCGGCGAGGGGAGUGAAAAAGAACCUGAAACCGUGUACGUACAAGCAGUGGGAGCACCUUCGGGUGUGACUGCGUACCUUUUGUAUAAUGGGUCAGCGACUUAUAUUCUGUAGCAAGGUUAACCGUAUAGGGGAGCCGCAGGGAAACCGAGUCUUAACUGGGCGUUAAGUUGCAGGGUAUAGACCCGAAACCCGGUGAUCUAGCCAUGGGCAGGUUGAAGGUUGGGUAACACUAACUGGAGGACCGAACCGACUAAUGUUGAAAAAUUAGCGGAUGACUUGUGGCUGGGGGUGAAAGGCCAAUCAAACCGGGAGAUAGCUGGUUCUCCCCGAAAGCUAUUUAGGUAGCGCCUCGUGAACUCAUCUUCGGGGUAGAGCACUGUUUCGGCUAGGGGGUCAUCCCGACUUACCAACCCGAUGCAAACUACGAAUACCGAAGAAUGUUAUCACGGGAGACACACGGCGGGUGCUAACGUCCGUCGUGAAGAGGGAAACAACCCAGACCGCCAGCUAAGGUCCCAAAGUCAUGGUUAAGUGGGAAACGAUGUGGGAAGGCACAGACAGCCAGGAUGUUGGCUUAGAAGCAGCCAUCAUUUAAAGAAAGCGUAAUAGCUCACUGGUCGAGUCGGCCUGCGCGGAAGAUGUAACGGGGCUAAACCAUGCACCGAAGCUGCGGCAGCGACACUAUGUGUUGUUGGGUAGGGGAGCGUUCUGUAAGCCUGCGAAGGUGUGCUGUGAGGCAUGCUGGAGGUAUCAGAAGUGCGAAUGCUGACAUAAGUAACGAUAAAGCGGGUGAAAAGCCCGCUCGCCGGAAGACCAAGGGUUCCUGUCCAACGUUAAUCGGGGCAGGGUGAGUCGACCCCUAAGGCGAGGCCGAAAGGCGUAGUCGAUGGGAAACAGGUUAAUAUUCCUGUACUUGGUGUUACUGCGAAGGGGGGACGGAGAAGGCUAUGUUAGCCGGGCGACGGUUGUCCCGGUUUAAGCAUGUAGGCUGGUUGUCCAGGCAAAUCCGGAUAAUCAAGGCUGAGGUGUGAUGACGAGGCACUACGGUGCUGAAGUAACAAAUGCCCUGCUUCCAGGAAAAGCCUCUAAGCAUCAGGUAACAUCAAAUCGUACCCCAAACCGACACAGGUGGUCAGGUAGAGAAUACCAAGGCGCUUGAGAGAACUCGGGUGAAGGAACUAGGCAAAAUGGUGCCGUAACUUCGGGAGAAGGCACGCUGGUGUGUAGGUGAAGCCCCUGCGGGUGGAGCUGAGACCAGUCGAAGAUACCAGCUGGCUGCAACUGUUUAUUAAAAACACAGCACUGUGCAAACACGAAAGUGGACGUAUACGGUGUGACGCCUGCCCGGUGCCGGAAGGUUAAUUGAUGGGGUUAUCCGUAAGGAGAAGCUCUUGAUCGAAGCCCCGGUAAACGGCGGCCGUAACUAUAACGGUCCUAAGGUAGCGAAAUUCCUUGUCGGGUAAGUUCCGACCUGCACGAAUGGCGUAAUGAUGGCCAGGCUGUCUCCACCCGAGACUCAGUGAAAUUGAACUCGCUGUGAAGAUGCAGUGUACCCGCGGCAAGACGGAAAGACCCCGUGAACCUUUACUAUAGCUUGACACUGAACAUUGAGCCUUGAUGUGUAGGAUAGGUGGGAGGCUUUGAAGCGUGGACGCCAGUCUGCGUGGAGCCAACCUUGAAAUACCACCCUUUAAUGUUUGAUGUUCUAACGUUGGCCCCUGACCGGGGUUGCGGACAGUGUCUGGUGGGUAGUUUGACUGGGGCGGUCUCCUCCCAAAGCGUAACGGAGGAGCACGAAGGUUAGCUAAUCCUGGUCGGACAUCAGGAGGUUAGUGCAAUGGCAUAAGCUAGCUUGACUGCGAGCGUGACGGCGCGAGCAGGUGCGAAAGCAGGUCAUAGUGAUCCGGUGGUUCUGAAUGGAAGGGCCAUCGCUCAACGGAUAAAAGGUACUCCGGGGAUAACAGGCUGAUACCGCCCAAGAGUUCAUAUCGACGGCGGUGUUUGGCACCUCGAUGUCGGCUCAUCACAUCCUGGGGCUGAAGUAGGUCCCAAGGGUAUGGCUGUUCGCCAUUUAAAGUGGUACGCGAGCUGGGUUUAGAACGUCGUGAGACAGUUCGGUCCCUAUCUGCCGUGGGCGCUGGAGAAUUGAGGGGGGCUGCUCCUAGUACGAGAGGACCGGAGUGGACGCAUCACUGGUGUUCGGGUUGUCAUGCCAAUGGCACUGCCCGGUAGCUAAAUGCGGAAGAGAUAAGUGCUGAAAGCAUCUAAGCACGAAACUUGCCCCGAGAUGAGUUCUCCCUGAGACUUUAAGUCUCCUGAAGGAACGUUAAAGACGAUGACGUUGAUAGGCCGGGUGUGUAAGCGCAGCGAUGCGUUGAGCUAACCGGUACUAAUGAACCGUGAGGCUUAACCUUACAACGCCGAAG
Molecule: ribosomal RNA, 2922 nt
Filed under: Klebsiella pneumoniae subsp. pneumoniae
Lineage: Bacteria; Pseudomonadati; Pseudomonadota; Gammaproteobacteria; Enterobacterales; Enterobacteriaceae
Description: bacterial LSU rRNA
Rfam family: Bacterial large subunit ribosomal RNA
Source: RNAcentral